Molecule: transfer RNA, 69 nt
Filed under: Marmota monax (woodchuck)
Lineage: Eukaryota; Metazoa; Chordata; Mammalia; Rodentia; Sciuridae
Description: tRNA.Ala
Source: RNAcentral
GGGUUUGGCUCAGUGGUAGAGUGCUCACCUAGCAUGCUUGAGGCACUGAGUUCUAUCCUCAGUACCACA